Molecule: transfer RNA, 77 nt
Filed under: Tolypothrix bouteillei VB521301
Lineage: Bacteria; Bacillati; Cyanobacteriota; Cyanophyceae; Nostocales; Tolypothrichaceae
Description: tRNA-Leu
Rfam family: tRNA
About the family: Transfer RNA (tRNA) molecules are approximately 80 nucleotides in length. Their secondary structure includes four short double-helical elements and three loops (D, anti-codon, and T loops).
Source: RNAcentral
UACAUACUAGCCGAAUUGGAACAGGCGCUUGACUUAAAAGCAGGUAAUUACGGGUUCAAAUCCCGUGUAUGAAUCAA